This is an RNA transcript of Pogoniulus pusillus (Red-fronted tinkerbird), 903 nucleotides long. It is a transcript of the gene named protein disulfide-isomerase TMX3-like, with no coding region annotated. The transcript has 6 exons. NCBI's taxonomy places the organism in Eukaryota, Metazoa, Chordata, Aves, Piciformes, Lybiidae. The record is from RefSeq and is a predicted model, not a curated record.
GAGGAGUUUGGGCAGGUCUCUCCAGCAAGCAUGAAAUGAGCUGAAGGAGCAGCAGGAGCAGCAUGGCCACUCCCCAGGCAGCAGGAGGUUUCAGCCCAGCACCAGCUCAUGCGGGAGGAGCAGAUGCUGAGGAACAUCCCCCACGAGACGCAGGUGGCCAAAGAGGCUGGGUCAGGAGAGUCCCAUUUCAUUCUUGAUGCUUUCUUUAAGAGAGGCAUACAACUGAGCUCCCUCAGAGAAGCAGCAUGAAGUGCAUGAAGGAUGCUGGCUGCACUCAGUACAGACAAGGCACAUUGGAGUGCCAAAAAGGAGACCUUCUUCACCUGCUUCUCCUGUGCAAGCUCUUCUGUCUGUCUGCUGAGAUGUUUCUGCCUGUUUCUCUGGCAGAGAAGUGUUUGCUUUUUGGGCUGGCGAGCUGACCAUCCGUACUACCGUCGCCUUGAAUGCCUCCAACCAGCAGUGUUUGCUGCCAGACAGACACCUGGAGAAGACAGAGGACAUGGUUAAGUUCAUGAAGGAUAUCUUGGAUGGUGCUGCUGAAGCACAGGCUGGUGAUGGACUUCUGCAACGAAGCAAGAGAGUCAUCUAUGAGGCCAAGGCUGCUGUAAUGGUAGAGUUCAUUGCUUAUUCAGUGAGGUGAUGCUCUUGUCAGUCAAGAAGGACUUAGUUGCAGAGGCUUUGGAAAUGCUUUGAUGUAAGCUUGUUGCUAUGCUGUGCCUAGUGUAUCUAUUGUCACUAUUUAGAACUAGGCUUAAACCAAAUGAACUUCUUGAUUAAAACAGCCAAUCAUGUCUGCCACAGUUCUAACUGUUCCACCUGCAUGAAUUUCACAUUUUUCACUCUGCUGUUAGUCUGACAUAUUUUAAGGGACAGAAUCAUGAAAAUCCAACCUCUUUUCCUUGA